RNAcentral lists this long non-coding RNA (417 nucleotides) under Coturnix japonica (Japanese quail). Its description in RNAcentral is "lncRNA (ENSCJPG00005019800.1)". The record is from RNAcentral. Lineage: Eukaryota; Metazoa; Chordata; Aves; Galliformes; Phasianidae.
GGCCCUCCUACACCUGAAUAAAUCUUAAGAAAGAAAAUAAAGCUUCAUGGCUUGCAAGUCCCUAUUAAGGAACUACCAGUGCUGGAGUUCUUGGCAUCAAAACCUCAUCUCUAUAAGAAUAGGUAAUAUUACCAGCUGGUGCUAUUUGGAAGAAUGAAAUAAGUCAGAGUGUUCUGGAUAUGCUACACUUGUUGACAAAGAUGUAUAAGCAAAGUACAUUGUGGUUUGUUCAUGGAUUAAACAAUUCAGCAUUUUGGACCUAAUCUGGAAUGACGUUGCUGCUUUAGGUGGUGUUUUGAUGCUCAGAAGAUCACGGACUACUCAUUGUCUGCAUGGCUCACAGAAGUAAUAGGGUAGGAAACCCAGCCACGUUUUCAAAAGCCUUUUGAAAAUAAUGCUUUUGGUUUUGAUCUUACA